This 485-nucleotide ribosomal RNA is filed under the name uncultured bacterium. RNAcentral's name for it is "bacterial SSU rRNA". It matches the Rfam family "Bacterial small subunit ribosomal RNA", at positions 30 to 507 of the family's 1533-position model. The record is from RNAcentral.
UUGAACGCUGGCGGCAUGCCUUACACAUGCAAGUCGAACGGCAGCACGGGUGCUUGCACCUGGUGGCGAGUGGCGAACGGGUGAGUAAUGUAUCGGAACGUGCCCAGUAGUGGGGGAUAACUACUCGAAAGAGUGGCUAAUACCGCAUGAGAACUGAGGUUGAAAGCGGGGGACCUUCGGGCCUCGCGCUACUGGAGCGGCCGAUAUCAGAUUAGGUAGUUGGUGGGGUAAAGGCCUACCAAGCCGACGAUCUGUAGCUGGUCUGAGAGGACGACCAGCCACACUGGGACUGAGACACGGCCCAGACUCCUACGGGAGGCAGCAGUGGGGAAUUUUGGACAAUGGACGCAAGUCUGAUCCAGCAAUGCCGCGUGCAGGACGAAGGCCUUCGGGUUGUAAACUGCUUUUGUACAGAACGAAAAGGCUCUGGUUAAUACCUGGGGCUCAUGACGGUACUGUAAGAAUAAGCACCGGCUAACUACGUG